RNAcentral lists this ribosomal RNA (1391 nucleotides) under uncultured bacterium. RNAcentral describes it as "bacterial SSU rRNA". It matches the Rfam family "Bacterial small subunit ribosomal RNA". The record is from RNAcentral.
AGAGUUUGAUCCUGGCUCAGGAUGAACGCUGGCGGCGUGCCUAACACGUGCAAGUCGAGCGAGAAGGCUGUGAAUGAAACUUUGGUCGAAUGAUCAGCUGGACAGCGGCGGACGGGUGAGUAACGCGUAGGUAAGCUGCCCCAUGCACAGGGAUAGCCUCGGGAAACUGGGAUUAAUACCUGAUGAUACAGUAGAUUCACAUGUAUUUCCUGUCAAAGAUUUAUCGGCAUGGGAUGCACCUGCGUCUGAUUAGCCAGUUGGUGAGGUAACGGCCCACCAAAGCAACGAUCAGUAGCCGACCUGAGAGGGUAAUCGGCCACAUUGGAACUGAGACACGGUCCAAACUCCUACGGGAGGCAGCAGUGGGGAAUAUUGCACAAUGGGGGAAACCCUGAUGCAGCAACGCCGCGUGAGCGAUGAAGGUCUUCGGAUCGUAAAGCUCUGUCCUUAGGGACGAAGAAGUGACGGUACCUAAGGAGGAAGCCCCGGCUAAAUACGUGCCAGCAGCCGCGGUAAUACGUAUGGAGCAAGCGUUAUCCGGAUUUACUGGGUGUAAAGGGAGCGUAGACGGCUUUGCAAGUCUGAAGUGAAAGCCCGGGGCUCAACCCCGGAACUGCUUUGGAAACUGUAGAGCUAGAGUACAGGAGAGGUAAGCGGAAUUCCUAGUGUAGCGGUGAAAUGCGUAGAUAUUAGGAGGAACACCAGUGGCGAAGGCGGCUUACUGGACUGUAACUGACGUUGAGGCUCGAAAGCGUGGGGAGCAAACAGGAUUAGAUACCCUGGUAGUCCACGCUGUAAACGAUGAUUACUAGGUGUUGGAUGGCAAAGCCAUUCGGUGCCGCAGCAAACGCAUUAAGUAAUCCACCUGGGGAGUACGUUCGCAAGAAUGAAACUCAAAGGAAUUGACGGGGACCCGCACAAGCGGUGGAGCAUGUGGUUUAAUUCGAAGCAACGCGAAGAACCUUACCAAAUCUUGACAUCCCGAUGACCAUCUAUGUAAUGUAGACUUUCUUCGGAACAUCGGUGACAGGUGGUGCAUGGUUGUCGUCAGCUCGUGUCGUGAGAUGUUGGGUUAAGUCCCGCAACGAGCGCAACCCUUGUCUUUAGUAGCCAGCAUUUUGGAUGGGCACUCUAGAGAGACUGCCAGGGAUAACCUGGAGGAAGGUGGGGAUGACGUCAAAUCAUCAUGCCCCUUAUGAUUUGGGCUACACACGUGCUACAAUGGCGUAAACAAAGAGAAGCGAAACCGUGAGGUCAAGCAAAUCUCAAAAAUAACGUCUCAGUUCGGAUUGUAGUCUGCAACUCGACUACAUGAAGCUGGAAUCGCUAGUAAUCGCGAAUCAGAAUGUCGCGGUGAAUACGUUCCCGGGUCUUGCACUCACCGCCGGUCA